GCCCCCUUAGCUCAGAGGAUAGAGCAGCGGUUUCCUAAACCGUGUGCCCAGGUUCGAGUCCUGGAGGGGGCG
This 72-nucleotide transfer RNA is filed under the name Caldilineaceae bacterium. Its description in RNAcentral is "tRNA-Arg". It matches the Rfam family "tRNA". From Rfam's summary of the family: Transfer RNA (tRNA) molecules are approximately 80 nucleotides in length. Lineage: Bacteria; Bacillati; Chloroflexota; Caldilineae; Caldilineales; Caldilineaceae. The record is from RNAcentral.